Molecule: ribosomal RNA, 891 nt
Filed under: uncultured bacterium
Lineage: Bacteria
Also listed under: 1 other name
Description: bacterial SSU rRNA
Rfam family: Bacterial small subunit ribosomal RNA
Source: RNAcentral
UGGAUCCAGACUUUGAUCCUGGCUCAGGACGAACGCUGGCGGCACGCCUAACACAUGCAAGUCGAACGGACGAAGGAGAGCUUGCUCUUCUAAGUUAGUGGCGGACGGGUGAGUAACACGUGAGCAACCUGCCUUUAAGAGGGGGAUAGCUUCUGGAAACGGAUGGUAAUACCCCAUAACAUAUCGGUAUGGCAUCAUACAGAUAUCAAAGAUUUAUCGCUUAGAGAUGGGCUCGCGUCUGAUUAGAUAGUUGGUGAGGUAACGGCUCACCAAGUCAACGAUCAGUAGCCGGACUGAGAGGUUGAACGGCCACAUAGGGACUGAGACACGGCCCAGACUCCUACGGGAGGCAGCAGUGGGGAAUAUUGCACAAUGGGGGGAACCCUGAUGCAGCGAUGCCGCGUGGAGGAAGAAGGUUUUCGGAUUGUAAACUCCUUUUAUUGGGGACGAUAAUGACGGUACCCAAAGAAAAAGCUCCGGCUAACUACGUGCCAGCAGCCGCGGUAAUACGUAGGGAGCGAGCGUUGUCCGGAAUUACUGGGUGUAAAGGGAGCGUAGGCGGGAUGGCAAGUCAGGCGUGAAAACUAUGAGCUCAACUCAUAGACUGCACUUGAAACUGCUGUUCUUGAGUGAAGUAGAGGUAAGCGGAAUUCCUAGUGUAGCGGUGAAAUGCGUAGAUAUUAGGAGGAACAUCGGUGGCGAAGGCGGCUUACUGGGCUUUUACUGACGCUGAGGCUCGAAAGCGUGGGGCGCAAACAGGAUUAGAUACCCUGGUAGUCCACGCUGUAAACGAUGAUUACUAGGUGUGGGGGGACUGACCCCUUCCGUGCCGCAGUUAACACAAUAAGUAAUCCACCUGGGGAGUACGGCCGCAAGGCUGCAACUCAAAUG